GGCUGUAUGGUGCAGGGGUAGCACACGAGGUUUUGAUGGCUCUCUUCCUCGCGACCUGGGUUCGAUCCCCAGUGCAGCCU
Molecule: non-coding RNA, 80 nt
Organism: Apiotrichum porosum
Lineage: Eukaryota; Fungi; Basidiomycota; Tremellomycetes; Trichosporonales; Trichosporonaceae
Source: the annotation of a RefSeq genome assembly